UCAGGCGGCCAGGCGACCGCGGGGGCCUUUUCGGCCUUCGAGGAAAGUCCGGGCUCCAUGGCGGCGGGGUGCCGGAUAACGUCCGGCCAGCGCGAGCUGAGGGAUAGCGCCACAGAGAAAGACGUCCUCGCCCCGGCGAGGUCACGGUGAAAAGGUGGGGUAAGAGCCCACCGCCGCUCCGGCAACGGAUGCGGGUCAAGGCAAGCCCCACCCGGAGCAAGACCGAAUAGGGACGGCGUGCAGCUCGCUGCAGGCCCGCCGCCAGGCUGAGCCGUCCGGGUUGGUUGCAGGAGCGCCUCCGCAAGGAAGCGCCUCAGAUGAAUGGUCGUCCUCCCGCAAGGGAAGACAGAACCCGGCUUACCGGCCGCCUGAUGCU
RNAcentral lists this RNase P RNA (376 nucleotides) under Parvularcula mediterranea. RNAcentral describes it as "Bacterial RNase P class A". It matches the Rfam family "Bacterial RNase P class A". From Rfam's summary of the family: Ribonuclease P (RNase P) is a ubiquitous endoribonuclease, found in archaea, bacteria and eukarya as well as chloroplasts and mitochondria. Its best characterised activity is the generation of mature 5'-ends of tRNAs by cleaving the 5'-leader elements of precursor-tRNAs. Lineage: Bacteria; Pseudomonadati; Pseudomonadota; Alphaproteobacteria; Parvularculales; Parvularculaceae. The record is from Rfam by way of RNAcentral.